UGGGGAAUCUUCCGCAAUGGGCGAAAGCCUGACGGAGCAAUGCCGCGUGGAGGUAGAAGGCCCACGGGUCGUAAACUCCUUUUCUCGGAGAAGAAGCAGUGACGGUAUCCGAAGAAUAAGCAUCGGCUAACUCUGUGCCAGCAGCCGCGGUAAGACAGGGGAUGCAAGCGUUAUCCGGAAUGAUUGGGCGUAAAGCGUCUGUAGGUGGCUCCUUAAGUCCGCUGUCAAAUCCCAGGGCUCAACCCUGGACAGGCGGUGGAAACUACUAAGCUGGAGUACGGUAGGGGCAGGGGGAAUUCCCGGUGGAGCGGUGAAAUGCGUAGAGAUCGGAAAGAACACCAAAGGCGAAGGCACCCUGCUGGGCCGACACUGACACUGAGAGACGAAAGCUAGGGGAGCGAAUGGG
RNAcentral lists this ribosomal RNA (406 nucleotides) under Acidobacteriota bacterium. RNAcentral's name for it is "Acidobacteria bacterium partial 16S ribosomal RNA". It matches the Rfam family "Bacterial small subunit ribosomal RNA", at positions 355 to 776 of the family's 1533-position model. The record is from RNAcentral. Lineage: Bacteria; Pseudomonadati; Acidobacteriota.